CGGUCAGGUCCCGUCACUAUAAGGGGGCUUGGCGGUUUCGCCAAACCGUGCGCAAGCAUUAAUAGGCCACUUGCCGCGUUGCGAUGUGGGCUGGUUUGGUUUUUUCCGCCAUAUGGAAAAUCACCGGAUACGGUCCCAUGUUAGAAGCCCUUAUGGGACGGCUCAUACGACGGAUGAAAUGGCGGAAAAAUGACCAUGGCCAUGGAUGACAAGACCCGGACGGAGUUGGAAGCAGCGGUUUUCCGCCGGCUGGUCGAGCAUCU
RNAcentral lists this unclassified non-coding RNA (263 nucleotides) under Hevea brasiliensis (rubber tree). Lineage: Eukaryota; Viridiplantae; Streptophyta; Magnoliopsida; Malpighiales; Euphorbiaceae. The record is from RNAcentral.